This 433-nucleotide ribosomal RNA is filed under the name uncultured bacterium. RNAcentral's name for it is "partial 16S ribosomal RNA". It matches the Rfam family "Bacterial small subunit ribosomal RNA", at positions 29 to 507 of the family's 1533-position model. The record is from RNAcentral.
AACGAACGCUGGCGGCAUGCCUAACACAUGCAAGUCGAACGAGACCUUCGGGUCUAGUGGCGCACGGGUGCGUAACGCGUGGGAACCUGCCCUUAGGUUCGGAAUAACUCCCCGAAAGGGGUGCUAAUACCGGAUAAUGUCUUCGGACCAAAGAUUUAUCGCCUUUGGAUGGGCCGGCGUUGGAUUAGCUAGUUGGUAGGGUAAAAGCCUACCAAGGCGACGUUCCAUAGCUGGUCUGAGAGGAUGAUCAGCCACACUGGGACUGAGACACGGCCCAGACUCCUACGGGAGGCAGCAGUGGGGAAUAUUGGACAAUGGGCGAAAGCCUGAUGCAGCAAUGCCGCGUGAGUGAUGAAGGCCUUAGGGUUGUAAAGCUCUUUUACCCGGGAUGAUAAUGACAGUACCGGGAGAAUAAGCACCGGCUAACUCCGUG